CUCUGACCUAGGUUUUAGGCAAACCUUCCUCGUUAACCUUCUUCAGCCUGAAUUCAAAUCCACUUUUGCUUCAGCUAUAAUUCAAGUAAUACACUCUGCUUGAAACUGCUUAAGAUGUAUUGUGCUUCUGCAGUAAUUCCAGCAUUACCUAACUCUGUGCACAGCAGAAAUACCACGUCACUUGCGUGGAUUAACCUGAGAGUGGGAGCUGUCGUUCAGUUCAAACCGUAUUUGAAGAAUCUUUAAUACUUCAUGACACAGAUGUAGUUGGAGCAUAGCCUGCUGUUUUAAUGUCAUAAGCUCAGCUAUUUGAUUUAGGUGCUAACUCAGGCAUGUUCUUUAAAGUCCUAGUGUUUUCUUAAGCAGUUUUCCCUCCC
This 377-nucleotide long non-coding RNA is filed under the name Bos taurus (domestic cattle). RNAcentral describes it as "long non-coding RNA NONBTAT022754". The record is from RNAcentral. Lineage: Eukaryota; Metazoa; Chordata; Mammalia; Artiodactyla; Bovidae.